Non-coding RNA from Monodelphis domestica (gray short-tailed opossum), 341 nucleotides. NCBI's taxonomy places the organism in Eukaryota, Metazoa, Chordata, Mammalia, Didelphimorphia, Didelphidae. The record is from RefSeq and is a predicted model, not a curated record.
AUCAGAUCUUUAUGGUUUACCAUAAAAAGAGCCACUUUAAAUCUGAGAGGAUUGGAGUGGUAAAUUCCUGUGUCCUGAGCACAUAAGGACUUUCAUCUUCCCUACUGUCUAAACAAGUUGCUUAGGGGACUGAAAAGGUGACUUCAAAAUGUUUUUGGCCUUUAUCACAAUCAAGACACUAUCUUUGCCAACAAGAAUACCUGCAGAACUUCACCAUCUACAAGAAUCUCUCUGCCAUUUAGACUUCGCUAGAACAUUGUAAAGGUUUUCAAGUGAAUUUUAUUCUCCAUUUACAAAUUAAACUGAGAGGUGAAAAAACCUGAAUAAACUUAUUAAACCUU